AGAUUGAACGCUGGCGGCAUGCUUUACACAUGCAAGUCGAACGGUAACAGGCCGCAAGGUGCUGACGAGUGGCGAACGGGUGAGUAAUGCAUCGGAACGUGCCCAGUCGUGGGGGAUAACGCAGCGAAAGCUGUGCUAAUACCGCAUACGAUCUAUGGAUGGAAAGCGGGGGACCGAAAGGCCUCGCGCGAUUGGAGCGGCCGAUGUCAGAUUAGCUAGUUGGUGAGGUAAGCUACACCAAGGCGACGAUCCUUAGCUGGUCUGAGAGGAUGAUCACGCCACGACGUGGGACUGACGACACCGGCCAGACCUCCGAGGGAGCAGCAGGUAGGAAUGUGGACAGUGGGACGAA
Molecule: ribosomal RNA, 352 nt
Filed under: uncultured soil bacterium
Lineage: Bacteria
Description: bacterial SSU rRNA
Rfam family: Bacterial small subunit ribosomal RNA
Source: RNAcentral